Molecule: ribosomal RNA, 432 nt
Filed under: uncultured bacterium
Lineage: Bacteria
Description: bacterial SSU rRNA
Rfam family: Bacterial small subunit ribosomal RNA
Source: RNAcentral
ACUCCUACGGGAGGCAGCAGUGGGGAAUAUUGCACAAUGGGGGAAACCCUGAUGCAGCCAUGCCGCGUGUGUGAAGAAGGCCUUCGGUUGUAAAGCACUUUCAGUAGGGAGGAAGGUAGUGUAGUUAACACCUGCAUUAUUUGACGUUACCUACAGAAGAAGCACCGGCUAACUCCGUGCCAGCAGCCGCGGUAAUACGGAGGGUGCGAGCGUUAAUCGGAAUUACUGGGCGUAAAGCGCAUGCAGGCGGCCUGUUAAGUCAGAUGUGAAAGCCCGGGGUCUUAACCGUCGGAAUUGCAUUUGAAACUGGCAGGCUAGAGUCUUGUAGAGGGGGUUAGAAUUUCAGGUGUAGCGGUGAAAUGCGUAGAGAUCUGAAGGAAUACCAGUGGCGAAGGCGGCCCCGUGGACAAAGACUGACGCUCAGAUGCGAAA